GUAACAAGGUUUCCGUAGGUGAACCUGCGGAAGGAUCAUUACUGAGUGAGGGCCCUCUGGGUCCAACCUCCCACCCGUGUUUAUUGUACCUUGUUGCUUCGGUGCGCCCGCCUCACGGCCGCCGGGGGGCUUCUGCCCCCGGGUCCGCGCGCACCGGAGACACCAUUGAACUCUGUCUGAAGAUUGCAGUCUGAGCAUAAACUAAAUAAGUUAAAACUUUCAACAACGGAUCUCUUGGUUCCGGCAUCGAUGAAGAACGCAGCGAAAUGCGAUAACUAAUGUGAAUUGCAGAAUUCAGUGAAUCAUCGAGUCUUUGAACGCACAUUGCGCCCCCUGGUAUUCCGGGGGGCAUGCCUGUCCGAGCGUCAUUGCUGCCCUCAAGCACGGCUUGUGUGUUGGGCUCCGUCCCCCCGGGGACGGGCCCGAAAGGCAGCGGCGGCACCGAGUCCGGUCCUCGAGCGUAUGGGGCUUUGUCACCCGCUCUGUAGGCCCGGCCGGCGCCAGCCGACAACCAAUCAUCCUUUUCAGGUUGACCUCGGAUCAGGUAGGGAUACCCGCUGAACUUAAGCAUAUCAAUAA
Molecule: unclassified non-coding RNA, 579 nt
Filed under: Penicillium crocicola
Lineage: Eukaryota; Fungi; Ascomycota; Eurotiomycetes; Eurotiales; Aspergillaceae
Description: sequence contains 18S rRNA gene, ITS1, 5.8S rRNA gene, ITS2, 28S rRNA gene
Rfam family: 5.8S ribosomal RNA (bases 215-368)
Source: RNAcentral